This 254-nucleotide long non-coding RNA is filed under the name Mytilus galloprovincialis (Mediterranean mussel). The record is from RNAcentral. Lineage: Eukaryota; Metazoa; Mollusca; Bivalvia; Mytilida; Mytilidae.
AAAAACAGAAAAUUGUCUUUUGAUAAUGAAAAAAAAAUGUUUGGACUUUAACGGUGCUUUUUUGUGGACUUUAGCGGAACUUGUUGUUGUGGACUUUAACGGUGUUUUCUUGUGGACUUUAGCGGAGGUAAUUUUGUGGACUUUAGCGGAAAUUUUGUGGACUUUAGCGGCGUUGUGGACUUUAGCGGAAAAUUGUUGUGGACUUUAGCGGUGUUGUGGACUUUAGAGGAAUUGUGGACUUUAACGGUGCCACA